CCCCCCCCAGCUGUUUUUCCGCCCGGCUCUCUGAAAGCCUUAUUGAUGGCCCAACGUGCGCGCCUCAGCCCACGGUUUCCCCGGCCCCCGGAGCAGCCCGCGCUUCCUCUGACGUGGCCUCUGUCUUCUGCCCUCCCCGGGAGCCCCGGGCCUUUCACGUUUCAAACGCUCGACAGCUGGCCGCGCCGCCGCUUCCGCCCCAAGAAGGGCUCUUGGCACCGCACCACGGCCCGGCCGGCGCCGCGCUCUCUUCUCUCCAGCUGUGACAGAGGCUUUUUCUAGAGACUCGGAGAAGCUGCUGUCCAGCUGCGGCCUCGCCCGGUCCCGGGCUCUGCAUGUUAAUCAGCGGCCGCUCACUGCCCCGUUUGUGGGGCUCCGGCAGGUGCGCCCCCAGCCGGUCCCUUGCGCCCGCUCGCUCGGGCAGCCCCCUCAACAUCAGGACGGGUACACAUAGUCAUUUUCCACACUGAACUAAGGCACGAGAGACUCGCCAGCCUUGGCCAGGCACCGGCAGGGCCACGCCCCCUCUCCACACUAUCUAGCGAGUGCGACAGUCCUUCACGUGGCCGAUCUUCUUCAGUCUAGAAUCCAUCCCCCUGAGGACUGGACCCUGGCAUCCUUUAUGCUUGUGGGCCUUGCAGACAUGAAGGGAUGAAAGGGACAGAAAGGGAACAACAGGAAAUGUAAUGAGCACCCACGCCACGUGGAGAACCACAGUCCAAGCUUCUGUGGCCAGCAUCUGAUGUUACCCACCCGGCCAUCUAGCAAGGACAGUGUUAAUUUCUCCAUUUUUUUUUUUCGUGGUAAAUAAUAUUUGGGUUGUAUUGACGGUAGGAAGGGAAAAUGUAUUAAAACUCCUAUUCCUCACUU
This is a long non-coding RNA of Acinonyx jubatus (cheetah), 870 nucleotides long. RefSeq lists it as uncharacterized. The transcript has 2 exons. Lineage: Eukaryota; Metazoa; Chordata; Mammalia; Carnivora; Felidae. The record is from RefSeq and is a predicted model, not a curated record.